Molecule: non-coding RNA, 126 nt
Organism: Triticum aestivum (bread wheat)
Lineage: Eukaryota; Viridiplantae; Streptophyta; Magnoliopsida; Poales; Poaceae
Source: Rfam
UAUAUAGUCCCUCCGUCCGAAAAAACUUGUCCUUCAAAUGGAUGUAUCUAGCACCAAGUUAGUGUUAGAUACAUCUAUUUGAGGAACAAGCUUGGGGCAAGUUUCUUCGGACGGAGGGAGUACUGA